Long non-coding RNA from Malania oleifera, 450 nucleotides. RefSeq lists it as uncharacterized. The transcript is spliced from 3 exons. The record is from RefSeq and is a predicted model, not a curated record. Lineage: Eukaryota; Viridiplantae; Streptophyta; Magnoliopsida; Santalales; Ximeniaceae.
CCCUAUCAUUCGCGGUCCAUAGGGGCCUCCCAUACCUCUGCUACCGAUACUCCGAAAUCUCCCUCUCUUUUCUGAAAUUUGGAGGAAUCCUCACUGAAGGGUUCGAGGAUGAGAACCAUUCUCUAGCCAAAGCCCAGGAAGAUUUGUUUUGAGUAGAAAAUUUGCUUCUAUACCUGGGCACAGAUGGUGGGAUAGGCCUACUCAGGAGCUCCUGAUAGGAGAGCGGAUAAAGCCCCGCUGAGAUAGUUACGGUUGAUCUACCAUCUCUGUAGGGUAUGUAUUUUGUGAUAGGGUCAGAUGGAUUUUUGUGGGAAGUAACCCUAGGAUUCUUUUAAGUGGUUUUAUAUGUAAAUGUAAUGGAUAAAGUAACUCUGGUAUUGUGAUGGAUGACAUAGUAGAUGGUUUUAUAGGUUAAUUACGAUUUAAUGUUUUGUGCUGCUUAGGCUUUCG